GAUGAACGCUGGCGGCGUGCCUAAUACAUGCAAGUCGAGCGAACAGACGAGGAGCUUGCUCCUCUGACGUUAGCGGCGGACGGGUGAGUAACACGUGGAUAACCUACCUAUAAGACUGGGAUAACUUCGGGAAGCCGGAGCUAAUACCGGAUAAUAUAUUGAACCGCAUGGUUCAAUAGUGAAAGACGGUUUUGCUGUCACUUAUAGAUGGAUCCGCGCCGCAUUAGCUAGUUGGUAAGGUAACGGCUUACCAAGGCGACGAUGCGUAGCCGACCUGAGAGGGUGAUCGGCCACACUGGAACGGAGACACGGUCCAGACUCCUACGGGAGGCAGCAGUAGGGAAUCUUCCGCAAUGGGCGAAAGCCUGACGGAGCAACGCCGCGUGAGUGAUGAAGGUCUUCGGAUCGUAAAACUCUGUUAUUAGGGAAGAACAAAUGUGUAAGUAACUAUGCACGUCUUGACGGUACCUAAUCAGAAAGCCACGGCUAACUACGUG
RNAcentral lists this ribosomal RNA (497 nucleotides) under uncultured bacterium. RNAcentral describes it as "partial 16S ribosomal RNA". It matches the Rfam family "Bacterial small subunit ribosomal RNA", at positions 28 to 507 of the family's 1533-position model. The record is from RNAcentral.